GAUGAACGCUGGCGGCGUGCCUAAUACAUGCAAGUCGAGCGAACGGACGAGAAGCUUGCUUUUCUGAUGUUAGCGGCGGACGGGUGAGUAACACGUGGAUAACCUACCUAUAAGACUGGGAUAACUUCGGGAAACCGGAGCUAAUACCGGAUAAUAUUUUGAACCGCAUGGUUCAAAAGUGAAAGACGGUCUUGCUGUCACUUAUAGAUGGAUCCGCGCUGCAUUAGCUAGUUGGUAAGGUAACGGCUUACCAAGGCAACGAUGCAUAGCCGACCUGAGAGGGUGAUCGGCCACACUGGAACUGAGACACGGUCCAGACUCCUACGGGAGGCAGCAGUAGGGAAUCUUCCGCAAUGGGCGAAAGCCUGACGAAGCAACGCCGCGUGAGUGAUGAAGGUCUUCGGAUCGUAAAACUCUGUUAUUAGGGAAGAACAUAUGUGUAAGUAACUGUACACAUCUUGACGGUACCUAAUCAGAAAGCCACGGCUAACUACGUG
This 497-nucleotide ribosomal RNA is filed under the name uncultured bacterium. RNAcentral's name for it is "partial 16S ribosomal RNA". It matches the Rfam family "Bacterial small subunit ribosomal RNA", at positions 28 to 507 of the family's 1533-position model. The record is from RNAcentral.